GCCCACCUAGGCGAUGAUACGUAGCCGAACUGAGAGGUUGAUCGGCCACAUUGGGACUGAGAUACGGCCCAGACUCCUACGGGAGGCAGCAGUAGGGAAUUUUUCACAAUGGACGAAAGUCUGAUGAAGCAAUGCCGCGUGAGUGAUGACGGCCUUCGGGUUGUAAAGCUCUGUUGUAAGGGAAGAAAAAAUAAAGUAGGAAAUGACUUUAUCUUGACAGUACCUUACCAGAAAGCCACGG
RNAcentral lists this ribosomal RNA (241 nucleotides) under Mycoplasma capricolum. Its description in RNAcentral is "partial 16S ribosomal RNA". It matches the Rfam family "Bacterial small subunit ribosomal RNA", at positions 263 to 496 of the family's 1533-position model. RNAcentral also lists the same sequence under 2 other names. Lineage: Bacteria; Bacillati; Mycoplasmatota; Mollicutes; Mycoplasmatales; Mycoplasmataceae. The record is from RNAcentral.